CCUACGGGAGGCAGCAGUGGGGAAUAGUGCACAAUGGGCGAAAGCCUGAUGCAGCAACGCCGCGUGAAGGAAGAAGGGUUUCGGCUCGUAAACUUCUAUUAACAGGGAAGAAAGAAAUGACGGGACCGGAAUAAGAAGCCACGGCUAACUACGGGCCAGCAGCCGCGGUAAUACGUCGGGGGCAAGCGUUAUCCGGAAUUACUGGGUGUAAAGGGGGAGGAGGCGGCAUGGUAAGCCAGAUGGGAAAGCCUUGGGCUUAACCCGAGGAUUGCAUUUGGAACUAUCAAGCUCGAGUACAGGAGCGGCCAGCGGCAUUCCUAGUGUCGCGGUGACAUGCGUAGAUCUUA
This 347-nucleotide ribosomal RNA is filed under the name uncultured bacterium. RNAcentral's name for it is "partial 16S ribosomal RNA". It matches the Rfam family "Bacterial small subunit ribosomal RNA", at positions 338 to 699 of the family's 1533-position model. The record is from RNAcentral.